RNAcentral lists this transfer RNA (72 nucleotides) under Ovis aries (sheep). It matches the Rfam family "tRNA". From Rfam's summary of the family: Transfer RNA (tRNA) molecules are approximately 80 nucleotides in length. Their secondary structure includes four short double-helical elements and three loops (D, anti-codon, and T loops). The record is from Rfam by way of RNAcentral. Lineage: Eukaryota; Metazoa; Chordata; Mammalia; Artiodactyla; Bovidae.
UCCCUGAUAGCUCCACUGGUAAAGAAUCUGUCUGCAACGCAGGAGACCCUGGUUCAAUUCCUGGUUGGGAAG